GGCUCUAGGCUCUUAGCUCUCUCUUUCGCCAGCUUUCUCUCAGUCCAAUUUCGUUGUCUUUUCUCAUGAAGCAGAUCCUCUCUAUUCCUUCGCGUUCCAGUUCUUCUCUUUCUCUGUUUCUUCAGCCACCGAUUACUAUUAUAUUGUCCGCCUGAGAUUGUAUUUUCUUGACCUAGGGUUUGCAUCGCUGUUUUUUCCAAGCGUAUAUUUUCGCAUUGCAAGAACCUUUUCUUUGGAGCACAAUGAACUUGAGUAGAUUUCUUUUUGGAUCCGCUUGGCUGCCGAGAAUCUUAUCCCAGACACGUUGCUAGCCCUAGCUAGCUCGGCUGCUCAUAAGAUAACAAUCCAAGAAAACCGGGUUUGUUUCAAAGCAAGACUUGUCUUCAGCCAUCAGAUGAGGAUUAGGAACGAAAACUUCCAAGGAAAUAUGGUGCCCUCCUUUGAAUAUGGAUGGGCAAGGCCACACAACGUCCGCCCAUGGAAGCUGGGCAAAGGGCGAGGGAUAGAAAAUUUGCCAGGAUUGGGCUGGUUUCAGCCAUAAAAUAAGAUAAUAGUUAAAAGAAAGCGGAUUUUGAUUCAAAGCACAGACGGUCUCCAGCCAUCAG
Molecule: long non-coding RNA, 605 nt
Organism: Juglans regia (Persian walnut)
Lineage: Eukaryota; Viridiplantae; Streptophyta; Magnoliopsida; Fagales; Juglandaceae
Exons: 5
Source: RefSeq, a predicted model, not a curated record